This 253-nucleotide ribosomal RNA is filed under the name uncultured bacterium. Its description in RNAcentral is "partial 16S ribosomal RNA". It matches the Rfam family "Bacterial small subunit ribosomal RNA", at positions 524 to 776 of the family's 1533-position model. RNAcentral also lists the same sequence under 1 other name. The record is from RNAcentral.
UACAGAGGGGGCAAGCGUUGUUCGGAAUUACUGGGCGUAAAGGGCGCGUAGGCGGCCGCCUAAGUCAGACGUGAAAUCCCUCGGCUCAACCGGGGAACUGCGUCUGAUACUGGGCGGCUUGAAUUCGGGAGAGGAAUGCGGAAUUCCAGGUGUAGCGGUGAAAUGCGUAGAUAUCUGGAGGAACACCGGUGGCGAAGGCGGCAUUCUGGACCGACAUUGACGCUGAGGCGCGAAAGCCAGGGGAGCAAACGGG